CACAAACUCCUUUCCUUAGAUUCAUUUCCUCUCAAGCAUUUUGGCAGGAGAAUUCCUAUGACACAGGGAAAAUCAGGCCCUCUGCAUUACUCCAGACUACACCCUGGGGCAACAGGAUGCUUGGCUGGAUUAAGAGAGUGCUGCCUCACCCUCCUGGGACCCCACACCAGCCACCCCUAGUGGAGAACGGAGACAGAAAAGCAGACACCAGGGUAACAGCUGUCGCAUCCAGGCCUGGAGAGGCAGAGCAGCUGCCAAAAGGAAACUCCACAUGUCCAGGAAAAUCUUCCAGCUGCGGUCAGACAGAGGGGGCAGGGAAGAAAGUGACAUUCAUCACAACCCAGGAGCCAGGCCCAUCCUCAGUGUCUUCAGCUGAAAGUGCUGGAAGGGGUGUACUUUCAUGGCUAUCUCAGGAGCUGGGAAAGGUAGUCCCUCAGCCAGCCCAGAAUCCAGGGAUGCGGCAGGCCAUCAGAAAGAGCUUCGAGAAUAGUUUGGACUUCCCUGACCAGACUGAAGUCCAGAGCAUAAAGGAGGAUGACGACCUACUAGAGAUAACUUCCCUCGCUCCAGAUGAAGACGAGCUUCAGGAUCAUAGCGAGUUGCAUUGCAGCUCAGAUAAUAAUGCCUCUGAAAAAGGGACUGGCAGCAGGGUGAUUAGCUGGCUGAUGCAGGGAUUUGGGAAAAUGAUCCCGCAGCCGGAAAACCUGAACAAGCUUGAGGAUGUAGCGGAGGGGAAGGCUGAAGAGGCAGCCGUAAGAGAAGAAAGUAAAGUGAGUAAGACAAGGACAGCACCAAAGGGAAGCUCUCAAGCAAGUCGCAGCGUAUCAGGAACCUCACAGCAGGCAUCUACAGACGGCCUGUUGGGACUUGGCGCCUCUCUCUCUCCUCAGAUGCUAGGUGGCGACGGUGGCAGGGUGGUCAAGUGGUUUGUUCAGGGAAUGGAGAUGGUGAUUCCACAGCCUCUGGCCAGAGUGAAGCAAGAUGCUCAGGCUGCAGAAGUUGCAACCUUGUGCCCAGUGAAAGAGAGGGGGGAAGGGGCUUAG
This is a long non-coding RNA of Gopherus agassizii (Agassiz's desert tortoise), 1043 nucleotides long. NCBI's taxonomy places the organism in Eukaryota, Metazoa, Chordata, Testudines, Testudinidae. The record is from Ensembl.